UUUGAUCCUGGCUCAGGAUGAACGCUGGCGGCGUGCCUAAUACAUGCAAGUCGAGCGAACGGACGAGAAGCUUGCUUCUCUGAUGUUAGCGGCGGACGGGUGAGUAACACGUGGAUAACCUACCUAUAAGACUGGGAUAACUUCGGGAAACCGGAGCUAAUACCGGAUAAUAUUUUGAACCGCAUGGUUCAAAAGUGAAAGACGGUCUUGCUGUCACUUAUAGAUGGAUCCGCGCUGCAUUAGCUAGUUGGUAAGGUAACGGCUUACCAAGGCAACGAUGCAUAGCCGACCUGAGAGGGUGAUCGGCCACACUGGAACUGAGACACGGUCCAGACUCCUACGGGAGGCAGCAGUAGGGAAUCUUCCGCAAUGGGCGAAAGCCUGACGGAGCAACGCCGCGUGAGUGAUGAAGGUCUUCGGAUCGUAAAACUCUGUUAUUAGGGAAGAACAUAUGUGUAAGUAACUGUGCACAUCUUGACGGUACCUAAUCAGAAAGCCACGGCUAACUACGUGCCAGCAGCCGCGGUAAUACGUAGGUGGCAAGCGUUAUCCGGAAUUAUUGGGCGUAAAGCGCGCGUAGGCGGUUUUUUAAGUCUGAUGUGAAAGCCCACGGCUCAACCGUGGAGGGUCAUUGGAAACUGGAAAACUUGAGUGCAGAAGAGGAAAGUGGAAUUCCAUGUGUAGCGGUGAAAUGCGCAGAGAUAUGGAGGAACACCAGUGGCGAAGGCGACUUUCUGGUCUGUAACUGACGCUGAUGUGCGAAAGCGUGGGGAUCAAACAGGAUUAGAUACCCUGGUAGUCCACGCCGUAAACGAUGAGUGCUAAGUGUUAGGGGGUUUCCGCCCCUUAGUGCUGCAGCUAACGCAUUAAGCACUCCGCCUGGGGAGUACGACCGCAAGGUUGAAACUCAAAGGAAUUGACGGGGACCCGCACAAGCGGUGGAGCAUGUGGUUUAAUUCGAAGCAACGCGAAGAACCUUACCAAAUCUUGACAUCCUUUGACAACUCUAGAGAUAGAGCCUUCCCCUUCGGGGGACAAAGUGACAGGUGGUGCAUGGUUGUCGUCAGCUCGUGUCGUGAGAUGUUGGGUUAAGUCCCGCAACGAGCGCAACCCUUAAGCUUAGUUGCCAUCAUUAAGUUGGGCACUCUAAGUUGACUGCCGGUGACAAACCGGAGGAAGGUGGGGAUGACGUCAAAUCCCAUCAUGCCCCUUAUGAUUUGGGCUACACACGUGCUACAAUGGACAAUACAAAGGGCAGCGAAACCGCGAGGUCAAGCAAAUCCCAUAAAGUUGUUCUCAGUUCGGAUUGUAGUCUGCAACUCGACUACAUGAAGCUGGAAUCGCUAGUAAUCGUAGAUCAGCAUGCUACGGUGAAUACGUUCCCGGGUCUUGUACACACCGCCCGUCACACCACGAGAGUUUGUAACACCCGAAGCCGGUGGAGUAACCUUUUAGGAGCUAGCCGUCGAAGGUGGGACAAAUGAUUGGGGUGAAGUCGUAACAAGGUAGCCGUAUCGGAAGGUGCGGCUGGAUCACCUCCUUUCU
RNAcentral lists this ribosomal RNA (1545 nucleotides) under uncultured Staphylococcus sp. RNAcentral describes it as "partial 16S ribosomal RNA". It matches the Rfam family "Bacterial small subunit ribosomal RNA". Lineage: Bacteria; Bacillati; Bacillota; Bacilli; Caryophanales; Staphylococcaceae. The record is from RNAcentral.